AGCAGCCGCGGUAAUUCCAGCUCCAAUAGCGUAUAUUAAAGUUGUUGCAGUUAAAAAGCUCGUAGUUGAAUUUCGGGGUUCAUCCGUUGGUCGGGCUUUUUUGGUCUGUACUGGCGUGAUGGAUUCCUACCUUCUGAAUAACCGGCAUGUCAUUAAUUUGGUGCGCCGGGGAAGCAGGACUGUUACCUUGAAAAAUUAGAGUGCUUAAAGCAGGCUAUCGCCUGAAUACAUUAGCAUGGAAUAAUGAAAUAGGACGGCAUGGUUCUAUUUUGUUGGUUUCUAGGAUCACCGUAAUGAUUAAUAGGGAUAGUUGGGGGCAUUAGUAUUCAAUUGUCAGAGGUGAAAUUCUUGGAUUUAUUGAAGACUAACUUCUGCGAAAGCAUUUGCCAAGGAUGUUUUCAUUAAUCAAGAACGAAAGUUAGGGGAGUCGAAGACGAUCAGAUACCGUCG
RNAcentral lists this ribosomal RNA (450 nucleotides) under uncultured Acaulospora. Its description in RNAcentral is "SSU rRNA". It matches the Rfam family "Eukaryotic small subunit ribosomal RNA", at positions 569 to 1020 of the family's 1831-position model. Lineage: Eukaryota; Fungi; Glomeromycota; Glomeromycetes; Diversisporales; Acaulosporaceae. The record is from RNAcentral.